RNAcentral lists this ribosomal RNA (391 nucleotides) under uncultured bacterium. RNAcentral's name for it is "partial 16S ribosomal RNA". It matches the Rfam family "Bacterial small subunit ribosomal RNA", at positions 523 to 917 of the family's 1533-position model. The record is from RNAcentral.
AUACGGAGGAUCCGAGCGUUAUCCGGAUUUAUUGGGUUUAAAGGGUGCGCAGGCGGCCAUUUAAGUCAGCGGUUAAAUCGUGGGGCUCAACCCCAUUCUGCCGUUGAUACUGGGUGGCUUGAUUGCGGUCGAGGUUGGCGGAAUUCGUUGUGUAGCGGUGAAAUGCAUAGAUAUGACGAAGAACACCGAUUGCGUAGGCAGCUGACCAGACCGCAAAUGACGCUCAUGCACGAAAGUGCGUGGAUCGAACAGGAUUAGAUACCCUGGUAGUCCGCACAGUAAACGAUGAAUACUUGUUUUCGGCGAUAUAAUGUCGGAGGCAAAGCGAAAGCGAUAAGUAUUCCACCUGGGGAGUACGCCGGAAACGGUGAAACUCAAAGGAAUUGACGGG